This is a long non-coding RNA of Ornithodoros turicata, 4171 nucleotides long. RefSeq lists it as uncharacterized. The record is from RefSeq and is a predicted model, not a curated record. The transcript is spliced from 2 exons. Lineage: Eukaryota; Metazoa; Arthropoda; Arachnida; Ixodida; Argasidae.
CCCAUAUGGCAUCUAAUUCACAAUACCAAGGGCCUCUACGUCAAUACAAAGAGAGUUCUGACGGUGAUGUUGGAGUCCUGUUGGUGUUGAAGUUGGAGUUGGUGUUGAAGUCCUAGGGAUGACGGGGGAGGUGACGGAGAUGAUGCAUGGAUAUUCUGAGCCACAAGGCCAAGGAGAUGAAAUAUGGGGAAAGUCGGACGUUGAAGUCGAUCCUACUUUCUUUCGAGAAGACGUUGAAGGUGCCGUUGAACAAGUGUGGAGACUCGCCCAAACGUUGGGAUGUAGAUGUAACAGUUUCGUCGAUAGUUCAAACCGAUGGCUUGGAGAUGUGGCUCCUCAAGUCAGAAGCACACAACUCUUUGAAAUUAUUGAAGGAAGUUCAAGGUACGGACAGCGAAGAGCCAUUAGUGUUGUCUAUCACCCAGAAUCCUCCGACCAAGAAGAAGGACAUCUCCAUGUCUACCAUUCCUGUGCGUUUAGAAACUCCACCUGCAAGUGCGGCUUUAUCAGACUUUUCCCAGGAUUCAAACAGCGAACUCGACCAAGAACUAUUUUCGUUAAUACCAUCUACAAAGCCCUCUACUGGUAUCACUUCAUACAAUAUUACUGCACUGGACCGAGACGUUUAUUACUCUUGGAUAUCCACCAAAGAGAGUACCGAUAUAUCAGAGACAUCGUAAAGAUGAAGUCCAUAGAAAACUGGAAGUGUGCGAGCUUUCGAGCGAAGACGAGUCUAUUUCACAAGACCGAAGGAAAGAAGUUUCAGAAAGCGAGAAGUCUGAUGAAAGAGCUACAGACAGAACUUCUAAAACUCGCCAACAACGAAAAAGAAGUGCGCAAGUCGAGCUAUCUCAAAUUCGACACAAAAAGAGCUGGAUUCUACAUAGAGACCUAGUGGAGUUUCUGAACGCACAGGAAUAGUAGACAUGGAGAUGUCCUUCUUCUUGGUCGGAGGACUCUGGGUGACAGACAACACGCUCUUCGCUGUCCGUACGUUGAACUCCAUUCUCUGACACCUUCAAUAAUUUCAAAAAGUUCUGUGCUUCUGACUUGAGGAACCACAUCUCCAAGCCAUCGGUUUGAACUGUCGACGAAUCUGUUACAUCUACGUCCCAACGUCCAUACUUGUUCAACAGCACCUUCAACGUCUUCUCGAAAGAAAGUAGGACCGACUUCAACAUCAGAUUUUCCCCAUAUUUGAUCGCCUUGGCCUUGUGGCUCAGAAUAUUCAUCAUCUCCGGCUUAACAACGACGCUUUAGCUUACUUUGACAAAAGUGAUAAUGACUGUAAGCGCGCUGUAAAUGAAGUACACAGAAAAUCCCAGCACCUAUCCAUUCAGAAAUCAAGCAAUGGAUUUUAGAGUGCCGUAACGAAUGCUAGAGAGCCUAAUCAUUACAUGGAUCUUAACGAUUCAAUUAAUGUACUCGAAUAACUUUUGCUGCAUGAGUACCACGAGAAUGACAGAGUUCGAGAAUUUAUUAUGCGACUGUACAAUAUCUUAGAGAAGAAGGAACCCAAGAGAAAUACUAUGUACGUCACAGGGGAGCCUAACUCAGGAAAAAACUAUUUUCUUUGAUUGUGUAGCGGGACUCAUGCUUAAAGUCGGACACGUAGCUAAUAUGGUGCGCGGAGAGCAUUUCCCAUUGAACGAUUGUAUUGCUAGACGCAUACUAAUCUGGAGCGAACCAAGUAUCAUGCCCUCCGCGUACGAUACCGUUAAAAUGUUGUCGGGAGGAGACACUUGCCCAGCUAACGUUAAGUACCAAGGCCAUUCUGUCAUUUCACGUACGCCUUUAAUCUUUACGGGUAACGUUUUCAUUUUCCCUAAUACUGCUGUUUGGCUUAGUCGGAUGUAUAAGGAACAAUGGCGUAGUGCACCAUUCCUUAAAUAUACCAAGGGAUAUACAACACCGAAAGCUCUUCUUGCUAUUUUUGAGAAGUACGAUCUUCUUUAAUAAACUUUGUGUGUGUUCAAUAAAGAAUAAACACUCAUAGGUGGGGUAUGAAUGUAUUUAUUCGAAACCAUAUAUAUACAAGGACAAAAAGGUGAGCAUGUCUUUCUUAUGCAGUAGUAAUCCUCGGUUUAUCUAACCAAUUUGCUUUUUUAGUAAUGCAGGCAUUGAACUGGGACUUGUCAUUGUUUUUCUUCUUCCAGCCCAAUAUAACAAUGAUUCAAAUCACUAUUCAAAUCUGUCGCACCGAGACUAACAGAAGCAUAUUGUGGAUCCCAGCCUUGAAUGAUAGGCAUAUUUACAUUUGGGUGAACACUAUUAAUAUUAUGUUCUGUUUCUAAGAAAGUUUCUAUUUGCCACUGAACUACUACAUUAGCAAAUGUAGCUUUAGGAGCAAGAGCUGCAUUACUUUGCACAGGUAAUACACCAAAAGUACAAGUCGGAGGUGCAUCUGGAUUAUUUGACACUCCAACAUUUCUUUGCAUAUAAGCAUUCUUUUCUAUUAUAUUAUUAUAUUGAACGUGAUCACUAUAGUAUGGCUUACUCGCACUAGCUGAUAUUUUAGUACUGAUUGACAUUGGAGAAGUUGUUCCUGCAUCAUUAGUAUAAUUGGAAGCGACUUCAGUACAAAGAGCAUUAGUAAAACCUUCCAGUAUAGGUUGACUAGUUUGUGAUCUCUGGGAUAGAUACGGAACUUUUAAAAUUCCACACUUACGGUAUAAUUCCUUUGCAAUCAUUCACAUUACGAACUUAAUAAUGUCGUAGUAAAUUAGGAGUACCCUUGAUAGUUUUAUACCUAGGAAUAAUUGUAUAUCUAUUCCAGUGCCUAGGUACCAACCAGGUAGUACCAAUACUACAGCCAAUCGAAUUAUCGUUUCCGUAUAAUAUAUCGGCCGGUGGAACUCCUGUAGUAAGUGAUGUAACAGACGUUAAAUCUGCUGUAUCUACUGUGACGCUACUAGAAAUAUAAUUCAUGAUUUUAUUUGAAUACUACACCAUAUCCUAUUUGCACUAAAGUUUGACUGUUAGCAAACGAUGACACUGCUUCAUUCGUCGCAAAUGGUAAUCUAUAUCCGAGAGGUGUUAUUUUUAUUGUACAUCGCUUUGCCCGAGUAUUUAUGGGGAGAUUAGAAAAUUCUGUUGGUGACAUAAAUAAUUGUAAAUUAUUUGCACUUAUAUCGGCAAGAGGAGUAGUAAGCAUUUCGAACUUUGAGGUACUCCAAUAAGCGUCCCAAUUGUCGAAACUUUUAAGUCCAAAUUGUAAUCCAGCAGCGUACACUUGAAAUGUUUUUCUAUAUACUCCAUGUGCCUCUGAAACACCCGGAUCACGAAUAAUUGUAGCCAUAACAUCAGCUCCAGUUCCUCCUGGCAAGGAAGAUCCAGCUUGUGGUCGUUGAACUUGGACUGCUACAAUGUUUUCUUCUUGAGAAGUAUUACCUCCUUCUUGUAUGCCACUGUCUCCGCUUUCGUCCAAACGAGGUCUUUUUCCUGGUGGACCCAUCUUGGGCUGGAAUAGACUACUGGACAAUGUCGUGUCGGCUAAAACCUUCGAUGUAUUUGUUGCAAGGGAUCAGGACCACCUAGCAUCAUUAUAAAAUCAUUAUGUCAUUGUAUAUAUAAUUAUUAUCUUGCUUGCUACACGUGUGCAUUUUACCCUUCAUCAUCACUGUAUAUAUAAUUACUGCAUUCUCAUCAUUUGCCAUUUGUAUCUACUGCGUCCCCUGCUAUGUUCCAAUAAUUAUCUGCAUUGUUUCAUGUUUGUACUUUUUAUUUUCUUGUUAUCGAUUUACCAUCACUCCUACUUGGGCACUCAGAAGGAAGCCAAGUAGUAUCAAUAAAUAAUAAUGAAUAAUAAUUGUUGGUACUUUUCAAUCCGUUGCCCUGGUGCAAAGAUAGGGCAUUUGACGAUUGAGUACAAGUGGUCCGUGUUCAGUAUUGAACUAAACAACUUUAUUUCAGGAUGAUGGGGAGUUUCAUCGCUGGGGGCGAUACUCUACCCCAUUGCUGAAGGUGAAGCAGGUGAAGCAGUAUUGAUUUUUCUUCAUUUCUCCUACAAUCCGAAGUAGUCGCAGAGAAUGAAGCAGACGAACCCAUCCUUUUCUGGAAGUAUUCUUACUCCAUAUCCUUACUUACAUAUUCGUGAACCGCCAACUAAUGAUUCAAGUGCUGUGUCAAUAUGGUCAAACUACGUUGGAGAAUAAAAUAUAAUAAAAUUGUC